Molecule: transfer RNA, 72 nt
Filed under: Eubacteriales bacterium
Lineage: Bacteria; Bacillati; Bacillota; Clostridia; Eubacteriales
Description: tRNA-Gln
Rfam family: tRNA
About the family: Transfer RNA (tRNA) molecules are approximately 80 nucleotides in length.
Source: RNAcentral
ACCCCCGUAGCCAAAUGGUAAGGCAACGGACUCUGACUCCGUCAUUUUAUGGUUCAAAUCCAUACGGGGGUG